GGACUGUGUUGAAGUGCGUGAGGAAGUCCUGAAGCUCCAUCCUGGACAGCACAAACGUGAGAGAAAAUCCUCGUGGAGGGCUGGGAAGAUGGCCAAGCCAAUAAAAGCUACUGAUGUACAAGCCUGACAACCUGAGUUCGAUCCCAGUAUCCCACUGUGGAAGGAGAGAACAGACUCUCCCAGCACUGACGCCCUCACCAGCGAGGGAUGCCCCGCUCACAGACACAUAGAGAAAUACAAAACUAGGGAAACAGCUUGAAGUUAUAUAUUCCCUUAUGCCUGCAAGUCCAGUGCUGGGGAGGCUGAGGCAGAAAGAUUGCCACGAGUGUGAGGCUAGCCUGGUCUACGUGGUGAGUUUUAGGCUGACCUAACCUCGAUGUCCUCGCUCUGAAAACCACGCCCUUAGUGGUUCCUGCUGCUUCUGCCCUGACUUUGCAGAAUAGAUUCAGACUCCUAAAUCACAGCUGACAGGGACCGUUUCUCUGCAUCUGGCCCUGUCGCACGCCCUCCCACAGAAGAACUCACCAGAACUCGCCAUCCUCCUUUUUGACAAGCAAGGCGUCUCGCCACUCGGCGGGGAGCAUGUCCCAGCGUGGGCAGCUGAAGAGAGCAACGUGAGCUGUAGGGAUGUGGGGGCCAAACCCCCACCCACCCCAAGCCCAUCCCACCUGUCACUCCAGGGCCCCGACCACUCCACACGGCCCCACGGGUUCCUCAGCCGCAGCAGCCGCACCUUGGUGAAGCCCAGGGACAUCUAAAGACAAUGGCAUCUGUGAGGGAGCCCUUCGUCCGUGCGGAUCUCACCCUGAUCGCUCUGAAAGAGGACGAGACUGUGAGGCUGAGAUGGAAGCAGCUCUGCCUAGCCUUCCUCCCCACCCCAGCCUCAGGCUUCCAACCCAGGAGCUAUCCAAGCAGCAUGAAAUGCCAGGGGGCUCAGAGACGGUGUCCACGCUGAAGAGUAGAGGACCUCACCUACACCUCCCGUGAAGUCCACGAAAGCCUCGUUCAUGUGGCCUCCACGCAUCACCUCGUAGGAGCCGUGGAGCCUGUGGAACAGGCGGAGAUGAACUGCGGCUCAGCACAAAACUCCUGGAAAACCAGGGUUCCAGUGAAGCUAAGAAGGAAACGCUUGGAGCAGUGGGGAGUCAGAGGCCCAGGUCCCUGAGCCCAGCGUCCCGGACCCAGGUUCCAGCCCAGCCCUGCUUUACAUGAGGUCGCUUCCAUUCCACCCCUUUGGCCUUCUCUGAAUCGGGUCCCAGCUUGUCAUAGCCGAGGGCAGCAGGACCAGCAGGAAAACAAGGGUCACGAAACAGGAUCCCGGAAUCCAGGCAAGCCGCUCGGAUGGCUUCGUAGCUCUGGCCUUUAAAGAGCUGUGGGCCCCCAGCUCCAGCCCCGGCCUCGCCGUCCACCAGCUGGAUGGUAACCUUCCUGCCACUGCCGCCCU
This is a long non-coding RNA of Psammomys obesus (fat sand rat), 1444 nucleotides long. RefSeq lists it as uncharacterized. NCBI's taxonomy places the organism in Eukaryota, Metazoa, Chordata, Mammalia, Rodentia, Muridae. The record is from RefSeq and is a predicted model, not a curated record. The transcript has 7 exons.